AAACGUAGGAGGCGAGCGUUAUCCGGAUUUACUGGGCGUAAAGCGCGUGCAGGCGGUUGCGCAAGUUGGGCGUGAAAUCUCCCGGCUCAACUGGGAGGGGUCGUUCAAAACUGCGUAGCUUGAGGGCAGGAGAGGGAAGCGGAAUUCCCGGUGUAGCGGUAAUAUGCGCAGAUAUCGGGAGGAACACCAGUGGCGAAGGCGGCUUCCUGGCCUGUGCCUGACGCUGAGACGCGAAAGCCAGGGGAGCGAACGGGAUUAGAUACCCCGGUAGUCCUGGCUGUAAACGAUGGAUACUAGGUGUGGGCGGUAUUGACCCCGCCCGUGCCGAAGCUAACGCGUUAAGUAUCCCGCCUGGGGAGUACGACCGCAAGGUUAAA
RNAcentral lists this ribosomal RNA (377 nucleotides) under uncultured bacterium. RNAcentral's name for it is "bacterial SSU rRNA". It matches the Rfam family "Bacterial small subunit ribosomal RNA", at positions 523 to 898 of the family's 1533-position model. The record is from RNAcentral.